CCCGCUGAACUUAAGCAUAUCACUAAGCGGAGGAAAAGAAAUUAACUAAGAUUGCCUCAGUAACGGCGAGUGAAGCGGCAAGAGCCCAAAAUGUAAAUCUUCACCCUGCGGGUGACGAAUUGUAAUCUAAAGAUGGUUCUCUCACCGGGUGGUGGCGCAGAAGUGCCUUAGAACGGGCCGCCAGAGAGGGUGACAGCCCCGUAUGUGGUGCCACUACCUAACGAGAGGGUUAUCGAAGAGUCGGGUUGUUUUGUAUUGCAGCCCUAAGUGGGAGAUAAACUUCUUCUAAGGCUAAAUAUCUAUGGGAAACCGAUAGCGAACAAGUACUGUGAAGGAAAGAUGAAAAGAACUUUGAAAAGAGAGUCAAAAGACUUGAAAUCGUUGAGAAGGAAGCGGUAGAAAUUUAUUCUUCGGCGGAGGGCGGUGGCGGCUGCCUAACCAUUGACGGGCGUCAGUACUGUUAAAGGCUGUGCUCGGCACUUGGGGAAGCGGCCGUUUUGCUCUCCGUUGUGAGGCAAGAUGGGGUCGCGAUCCCGCAGAGGCUUCUCCAGCCUGGCCUGAUUCGUCAGGCAGCUGGGGUCUGCCGGCGGGGACGCGGCCUGAGGGUGCUUCGUGCGAUCUUGCCAAAAUGGUUUUUACCGACCCGUCUUGAAACACGG
RNAcentral lists this ribosomal RNA (659 nucleotides) under uncultured fungus. RNAcentral describes it as "eukaryotic LSU rRNA". It matches the Rfam family "Eukaryotic large subunit ribosomal RNA", at positions 24 to 664 of the family's 3401-position model. The record is from RNAcentral. Lineage: Eukaryota; Fungi.